GGGGAAUAUUGGACAAUGGGGGAAACCCUGAUCCAGCAAUGCCGCGUGAGUGAUGAGGCCUUCGGGUUGUAAAGCUCUUUUGUCAGGGACGAUGAUGACGGUACCUGACGAAUAAGCUCCGGCUAACUUCGUGCCAGCAGCCGCGGUAAUACGAGGGGAGCUAGCGUUGUUCGGAAUUACUGGGCGUAAAGGGCGUGUAGGCGGUACCAUAAGUCAGAUGUGAAAGCCCUAGGCUUAACCUAGGAAUUGCAUUUGAUACUGUGGAACUAGAGAUCGAGAGAGGUAAGUGGAAUUACGAGUGUAGAGGUGAAAUUCGUAGAUAUUCGUAAGAACACCAGUGGCGAAGGCGACUUACUGGCUCGAUACUGACGCUAAGGCGCGAAAGCGUGGGGAGCAAAC
Molecule: ribosomal RNA, 399 nt
Filed under: uncultured bacterium
Lineage: Bacteria
Description: bacterial SSU rRNA
Rfam family: Bacterial small subunit ribosomal RNA
Source: RNAcentral